AUUGAACGCUGGCGGCAGGCUUAACACAUGCAAGUCGAGCGGGGGAAGUUGUUUCGGUAAUUGACCUAGCGGCGGACGGGUGAGUAAUACUUAGGAAUCUGCCUAUUAAUGGGGGACAACAUCUCGAAAGGGAUGCUAAUACCGCAUACGCCCUACGGGGGAAAGCAGGGGAUCACUUGUGACCUUGCGUUAAUAGAUGAGCCUAAGUCGGAUUAGCUAGUUGGUGGGGUAAAGGCCUACCAAGGCGACGAUCUGUAGCGGGUCUGAGAGGAUGCUCCGCGACACUGGGACUGGGACACGGCCCAGACUACGACGGGCGGCAGCAGGUGGGAAUAUUGGACAAGGGGGGGAACCCUGAUCCAGCCAUGCCGCGUGUGUGAAGAAGGCCUUAUGGUUGUAAAGCACUUUAAGCGAGGAGGAGGCUACUUUAGUUAAUACCUAGAGAUAGUGGACGUUACUCGCAGAAUAAGCACCGGCUAACUCUGUGCCAGCCGCCGCCGUAA
RNAcentral lists this ribosomal RNA (503 nucleotides) under uncultured bacterium. RNAcentral describes it as "partial 16S ribosomal RNA". It matches the Rfam family "Bacterial small subunit ribosomal RNA", at positions 30 to 523 of the family's 1533-position model. The record is from RNAcentral.